GAAAUGCGAUAAGUAAUGUGAAUUGCAGAAUUCCGUGAAUCAUCGAAUCUUUGAACGCACAUUGCGCCCUCUGGUAUUCCGGGGGGCAUGUCUGUCCGAGCGUCAUUGCGAACCCCUCAAGCACGGCUUGUGUGAUGGGCCCUCCCGCGUCUUGGUCGUCAAGACGGGCCCGAAAUGCAGUGGCGGCUUCGCGGUUAUCCGAUCAGCCAGAGCGUAUGGGGACUUUCUCUCUGUCACACGCCCGCGGCGCGGACCGACGCCUGUCGACCUUUAUUCAUCUUUUUCUCGGUUGACCUCGGAUCAGGUAGGGAUACCCGCUGAACUUAAGC
Molecule: unclassified non-coding RNA, 329 nt
Filed under: plant metagenome
Description: partial contains 5.8S ribosomal RNA, internal transcribed spacer 2, and large subunit ribosomal RNA
Rfam family: 5.8S ribosomal RNA (bases 1-105)
Source: RNAcentral